RNAcentral lists this non-coding RNA (30 nucleotides) under Homo sapiens (human). The record is from RNAcentral. Lineage: Eukaryota; Metazoa; Chordata; Mammalia; Primates; Hominidae.
GCACUGCCAUGACGCUCGGUGCCCUUUUCA